RNAcentral lists this small nuclear RNA (283 nucleotides) under Microcebus murinus (gray mouse lemur). RNAcentral's name for it is "7SK RNA (ENSMICG00000035114.2)". It matches the Rfam family "7SK RNA". Rfam says of the family: 7SK was discovered as an abundant small nuclear RNA in the mid-70s but a possible function has only recently been suggested. Two independent studies have found that 7SK RNA binds the CDK9/cyclin T complex (known as elongation factor P-TEFb). The record is from RNAcentral. Lineage: Eukaryota; Metazoa; Chordata; Mammalia; Primates; Cheirogaleidae.
GGAUGUGAGGGUGAUCUGUCUGCGACACCUGUCACUCCAUUGAUCACCAGGGUUGAUUCGGCUGAUCUGGCUGACUAGGUGGGUGUCCCCUUCCUCCCUCACCGCUCCAUGUGCAUCCCACCCAAAGCCCCUCGCUCGCUUGGUUGCAGAGGAUGACCUUCCCUGCUAGAGGGGGAUCGGUCUUUGGUCAAGGGUAUACGAGUAGCUGCACUCCCCUGCUAGAACCACCAAACAAGCUCCUAAGGGCUUAUUUUAAAUGCAAUUAUGUUUUCUUUGGAACUGA